UGGGGAAUAUUGGACAAUGGGGGCAACCCUGAUCCAGCAAUGCCGCGUGUGUGAAGAAGGUCUUCGGAUUGUAAAGCACUUUCGACGGGGACGAUGAUGACGGUACCCGUAGAAGAAGCCCCGGCUAACUUCGUGCCAGCAGCCGCGGUAAUACGAAGGGGGCUAGCGUUGCUCGGAAUGACUGGGCGUAAAGGGCGUGUAGGCGGUUUACACAGUCAGAUGUGAAAUCCCCGGGCUUAACCUGGGAGCUGCAUUUGAUACGUGUAGACUAGAGUGUGAGAGAGGGUUGUGGAAUUCCCAGUGUAGAGGUGAAAUUCGUAGAUAUUGGGAAGAACACCGGUGGCGAAGGCGGCAACCUGGCUCAUGACUGACGCUGAGGCGCGAAAGCGUGGGGAGCAAACAGGAUUAGAUACCCUGGUAGUCCACGCUGUAAACGAUGUGUGCUAGAUGUUGGGUAACUUUGUUAUUCAGUGUCGCAGUUAACGCGUUAAGCAC
RNAcentral lists this ribosomal RNA (495 nucleotides) under uncultured bacterium. RNAcentral describes it as "partial 16S ribosomal RNA". It matches the Rfam family "Bacterial small subunit ribosomal RNA", at positions 355 to 867 of the family's 1533-position model. The record is from RNAcentral.